CCUACGGGAGGCAGCAGUGAGGAAUAUUGGUCAAUGGACGAGAGUCUGAACCAGCCAAGUAGCGUGAAGGAUGACUGCCCUAUGGGUUGUAAACUUCUUUUAUAAAGGAAUAAAACGAGGCACGUGUGCCUUUUUGCAUGUACUUUAUGAAUAAGGAUCGGCUAACUCCGUGCCAGCAGCCGGGGUAAUACGGAGGAUCCGAGCGUUAUCCGGAUUUAUUGGGUUUAAAGGGAGCGUAGAUGGGUUGUUAAGUCAGUUGUGAAAGUUUGCGGCUCAACCGUAAAAUUGCAAUUGAUACUGGCAGUCGUGAGUACAGUUGAGGUAGGCGGAAUUCGUGGUGUAGCGGUGAAAUGCUUAGAUAUCACGAAGAACCCCGAUUGCGAAGGCAGCUUACUAAACUGUGACUGACAUUGAUGCUCGAAAGUGUGGGUAUCAAACAGGAUUAGAUACCCUGGUAGUC
Molecule: ribosomal RNA, 460 nt
Filed under: uncultured bacterium
Lineage: Bacteria
Description: partial 16S ribosomal RNA
Rfam family: Bacterial small subunit ribosomal RNA
Source: RNAcentral